GAUGAACGCUGGCGGCGUGCCUAAUACAUGCAAGUAGAACGCUGAAGCUUGGUGCUUGCACCGAGCGGAUGAGUUGCGAACGGGUGAGUAACGCGUAGGUCACCUGCCUCUUAGCGGGGGAUAACUAUUUGAAACGAUAGCUAAUACCGCAUAAAAGUCGCUAUCGCAUGAUAUUGAUUUGAAAGGUGCAAAUGCAUCACUAAGAGAUGGACCUGCGUUGUAUUAGCUAGUUGGUGAGGUAACGGCUCACCAAGGCGACGAUACAUAGCCGAACUGAGAGGGUGAUCGGCCACACUGGGACGGGGACACGGCCCAGGCUCCUGCGGGAGGCAGCAGUAGGGAAUCGGCGGCAAUGGGGGCAACCCUGACCGAGCAACGCCGCGUGAGUGAAGAAGGUUCUCGGAUCGUAAAGCUCGGUUGUAAGAGAAGAACGAGUGUGAGAGUGGAAAGUGCACACUGUGACGGUAACUGACCAGAAAGGGACGGCUAACUACGUG
Molecule: ribosomal RNA, 497 nt
Filed under: uncultured bacterium
Lineage: Bacteria
Description: partial 16S ribosomal RNA
Rfam family: Bacterial small subunit ribosomal RNA
Source: RNAcentral